RNAcentral lists this ribosomal RNA (378 nucleotides) under uncultured bacterium. RNAcentral's name for it is "bacterial SSU rRNA". It matches the Rfam family "Bacterial small subunit ribosomal RNA", at positions 28 to 408 of the family's 1533-position model. The record is from RNAcentral.
GACGAACGCUGGCGGCGUGCUUAACACAUGCAAGUCGAGCGGUAAGGCCCUUUCGGGGGUACACGAGCGGCGAACGGGUGAGUAACACGUGGGUGACCUGCCCUCAGCUCUGGGAUAAGCCUGGGAAACCGGGUCUAAUACUGGAUAUGACUCCAUGACGCAUGUUGUGGGGUGGAAAGCCUUGUGCGGCUGAGGAUGGGCCCGCGGCCUAUCAGCUUGUUGGUGGGGUGAGGCCUACCAAGGCGACGACGGGUAGCCGGCCUGAGAGGGCGACCGGCCACACUGGGACUGAGACACGGCCCAGACUCCUACGGGAGGCAGCAGUGGGGAAUCUUGCGCAAUGGGCGAAAGCCUGACGCAGCGACGCCGCGUGAGGGA